GACGAACGCUGGCGGCGUGCUUAACACAUGCAAGUCGAACGGAAAGGCCCUUCGGGGUACUCGAGUGGCGAACGGGUGAGUAACACGUGGGUGAUCUGCCCUGCACUUUGGGAUAAGCCUGGGAAACUGGGUCUAAUACCGAAUAGGACCACGCGCUUCAUGGUGUGUGGUGGAAAGCUUUUGCGGUGUGGGAUGGGCCCGCGGCCUAUCAGCUUGUUGGUGGGGUAAUGGCCUACCAAGGCGACGACGGGUAGCCGGCCUGAGAGGGUGACAGGCCACACUGGGACUGAGAUACGGCCCAGACUCCUACGGGAGGCAGCAGUGGGGAAUAUUGCACAAUGGGCGCAAGCCUGAUGCAGCGACGCCGCGUGAGGGAUGACGGCCUUCGGGUUGUAAACCUCUUUCACCAGGGACGAAGCGUAAGUGACGGUACCUGGAGAAGAAGCACCGGCCAACUACGUG
Molecule: ribosomal RNA, 462 nt
Filed under: uncultured bacterium
Lineage: Bacteria
Description: partial 16S ribosomal RNA
Rfam family: Bacterial small subunit ribosomal RNA
Source: RNAcentral